This is a long non-coding RNA of Pan troglodytes (chimpanzee), 1745 nucleotides long. RefSeq lists it as uncharacterized. Lineage: Eukaryota; Metazoa; Chordata; Mammalia; Primates; Hominidae. The record is from RefSeq and is a predicted model, not a curated record. The transcript is spliced from 2 exons.
ACUCUCACACUCACUCUGGUCCUAACCAUGAACCUGACCUUCACACUCACACUGACUCUGGACUUCACCUUCAGAUUCACCUCACCUCACUGAAUAGAACAAAAAGACCAGCCUCCUUCAACAAGAGGAAAUUCUUCAGCAGACUGCCUUUAGACUGGAACUGCACCAUUGGCUCCCCUGGGGCUCCAGCCUGCCAGCCUCCAUAAUUAUAUGCUCUAACUCAUCUUAAAGAGGAGAAUCAGUGGGAAACGGGUCUGGGAAGAUCAUUGGUCAGCUCUGGUCCCAGAAACUUGGGCAGGCACCCCCUGUAAAGCACUUGUGAACAUGGGGACUCGUCUUCUACGCCGAAAAGUGGUGACUCACACCAUGGGCAAGUGGCAGAUAUUCAGCCUCUGGAAGAGAAUACUGGGGACAGUUGCUGGCAGCACAGGUUGGCACUUGGACUCUGAAACAAAAAAUGGGGACUUCACUUCUGGAGGGAGAGGUGGGGACACAGCCCCAGGGCAAGGGGAGGGGACUUAGCUUCUUGGGGGAGAUGCAGGGAGGAAGCUUCUGGAGUGGGAAGUCUCUAAUGAGUGGCAUGGAUUUAGUCUGUAGAACUGAAACCAAAACUCAUCUUUUAGAAGGGAUAAGUGUAGACUUAGCCUUUGGGACAAGUGGUGAGGACAUAGCAUCUGGAAGGAGAAGCAAGAAUGUAGCCUCUGCUGAGGGAAAUGAACGUGUAAUCUCUGGGGCAAAAGAUAGGUACUUAACCUCUGGCAUUGAAAUCCAGACCCAGCCUCUGGAAGAAGAGUGGACUUACCCCCUGGGCAGAUGGUGGAAACCUUGCUUAUGGUACGAGCAUUGGGAACUUAGCCACUGGAGUCAAAAUCAGGGCAGGCAUAGACUCUGGGGCAGAAAGUGGAAACUUCACCUCUGGGGUGAACAGUGGGGGCUUCUUCUCUGGAGUCAGAUGGGGACUCAGCAUUGGGAAGAAUACGGUGGACUUUUUAUAUUCUGGAGACAGAAGUAGCCUUUAGGGAGAGAGGUAGAGAUAGCCUGUGGAGCCCAAAUCCAGAUGUAGCCUCUGGAGGGAGAAGUAGGGCCCUCACCUGGUGGGAGACCUCUGGGGACUCAGCUUCCAGCUCUAGAAGCAGAGACCUAGACUCAGGUGUGGGUAGUGGGAUGUAGUCUCUGAGGCAAGAGAUGACUUCUGCAGUCAGAAUUGGGGCUCAGCCUCCGGAGAGGGAAGUGUGGACCCAGCCAGUGGGUAUAUGGUGGAAACUUAGCCUUUGGAUGGAGAAGUAGGAUCUUAGUCUCUAGCUUCUGUGUGGGGAGUGGGGAUUUAGCUUCUGAAAUGGAAGAUGGGGUCUCAGCCUCUGAAGCUGAAAAUCUGGACUCAGUUUCUGGAGGGAAAAGCUGGGACACAGACGUGGGUGGUCGCGGUCAAAAUCAAUUUCUCAAAAGCGGCCUUUAUGCCAGGCUGGAGGAGCUCCCCCUAGCGAGUGAGGGAAGCAGGACACUUUGAAACGAAUGCGUUUCUCAGCUUCUUUGCACAUGUAAAGUUACAAAGCACUUAAGAAGCAUAUAAGGUUUGUUUAAAAUGAAUAAGUUAUUUUGAGCUUGAUUUAACAUAAACUCUUAGAUAUACUCUAAGUUACUCUAAGAAGGUCCUUUUGAGAAUGCUUGAGUCUACACUUGUUUUAAUAUCAACUGUUACAUAUGAAUUAUCUCUAAGGAGCAAUAAAAGUGUGGUGUAAAAUGAA